CUUGCAUCAUUGUAAAAAUGAUGCAGGAUCGACUAUGUCGAAUAAAAUUCUAGGUAGAAUUAUGAUAAUGACAUUGUCUGCCUAUGUGUCUUGACCAAAUUACGUGCCAGCAGUCGCGGUAAUACGUAGAAGACUAGUGUUAUUCAUGUUUAAUCGGUUUAAAGGGUACCUAGACGGUAAAUCAAGCCUAAAAUUAAAUGAAGGGACUAAUUUACUAGAGUUACUUAUGAGGGGGUAUUAAAGUACUGCUGGUGUAGAGAUGAAAUUCUGUCAUACCUCUUUUCAAUAGAAAAACAAUGGCACAGGUAUAGGCGAAAGCAUCCCCUUAUGUGAUAACUGACGUUGAGGGACGAAGGCUUUGUGUAGCGAACAGGAUUAGAUACCCCAGUAGUCAAAGCAGAAAAUGAUGAAUGUCAUAGAUUAGAUAAAUAAGUUUAUUCUAUAAAUGAAAGUGUAAGCAUUCCACCUCAAGAGUAAUUUGGCAACAUUGGAACUGAAAUCAUUAGACCGUUUCUGAAACCAGUAGUGAAGUAUGUUGUUUAAUUUGAUGAUCCGCAAAAAACCUUACCACAAUUUGAAUAUUUAUAUUUUUUUAUUGUUUUCUUUUUAAUUUUCUUCUGAUUUGAUUUUUCUAAAGAAAAAAAGAAAAAGAGGCGAUAUGAUAUAUUUACAAGCGUUGCACGGCUGUCUUCAGUUAAUGUCGCGAGACUUUGGUUAGUUCCAUUAAAUUAACGUAAACCCUUACUUUAUUUUUAUAUAGAGUAGUUC
RNAcentral lists this ribosomal RNA (768 nucleotides) under Hypogymnia imshaugii. RNAcentral's name for it is "mitochondrial SSU rRNA". It matches the Rfam family "Bacterial small subunit ribosomal RNA", at positions 388 to 1132 of the family's 1533-position model. Lineage: Eukaryota; Fungi; Ascomycota; Lecanoromycetes; Lecanorales; Parmeliaceae. The record is from RNAcentral.